Molecule: ribosomal RNA, 258 nt
Filed under: uncultured prokaryote
Description: partial 16S ribosomal RNA
Rfam family: Bacterial small subunit ribosomal RNA
Source: RNAcentral
UACGUAGGGGACGAGCGUUGUCCGGAAUUACUGGGCGUAAAGGGCGCGCAGGCUGUAGAUCAAGUCAGCUGUGAAAUGUCUGGGCUUAACCCGGGCAUGCGGUUGAAACUGAUGUACUGGAGUGCUGUAGAGGCAAGUGGAAUUCCCAGUGUAGCGGUGAAAUGCGUAGAUAUUGGGAAGAACACCGGUGGCGAAGGCGACUUGCUGGGCAGCAACUGACGCUGAGGCGCGAAAGCCAGGGGAGCAAACUGGAUUAGA